RNAcentral lists this transfer RNA (73 nucleotides) under Phycisphaerae bacterium. Its description in RNAcentral is "tRNA-Thr". It matches the Rfam family "tRNA". Rfam says of the family: Transfer RNA (tRNA) molecules are approximately 80 nucleotides in length. Their secondary structure includes four short double-helical elements and three loops (D, anti-codon, and T loops). Further hydrogen bonds mediate the characteristic L-shaped molecular structure. tRNAs have two regions of fundamental functional importance: the anti-codon, which is responsible for specific mRNA codon recognition, and the 3' end, to which the tRNAs corresponding amino acid is attached (by aminoacyl-tRNA synthetases). tRNAs cope with the degeneracy of the genetic code in two manners: having more than one tRNA (with a specific anti-codon) for a particular amino acid; and 'wobble' base-pairing, i.e. permitting non-standard base-pairing at the 3rd anti-codon position. The record is from RNAcentral. Lineage: Bacteria; Pseudomonadati; Planctomycetota; Phycisphaerae.
GCCACCGUAGCUCAGUCGGUAGAGCAGCGGUUUUGUAAACCGCAGGUCGUCGGUUCGAGCCCGACCGGUGGCU